Molecule: long non-coding RNA, 13041 nt
Filed under: Citrus maxima (pomelo)
Lineage: Eukaryota; Viridiplantae; Streptophyta; Magnoliopsida; Sapindales; Rutaceae
Description: long non-coding RNA (CMAX_LNC000731)
Source: RNAcentral
UGAAUUUCGUGGAUUCGUGGCCAGCUAGAUGGGAUGUUUCUUUCAGUGCAUCCCUCCACUUCUGAACCAUUUCUGGCUUCUCUUUGAACUGUUGUUCGAGCUUAUCAAAACCGUGCCCAAAAAUUCCAGCUUGAUGCCGAACAUCGGACGGACUUACGCUAUAGAAAACUGGAAUAACGAUUUGGCCGUUUGUGUGCUUGCAUUCAAGAAUCUUGACAAGUUCAUUCAGGCACCAUUUUGAAGAAGCGUAGUCCUUUGAGAAAAUGACGACCGAAAUUUUCGAACCUUCGAUUGCGUUCAAAAGAGCAGGUGAAAUCUCAUCUCCUCGCCUAAGCUCUUCAUCAUCAAUAAACGUUUUGAUUUUCGUUCUUUCAUUCAAAUUAUAAUAGAGAUGGCAUGUAAAGCUCACGCGAGUGUCCUCUCCUCUGAAACUGAGGAAUACAUCAUAAUUGCAACAAGAAGAAGAGGAAGCCAUGAAGGAAAUUUUAGAAAUUUGGUGACAGAAACAGAGAAUUAAUCUUGAGAGUUGAGAGGGGAUAUGUAAGAAUGAAAAUGCGUAAAUAGUAAAUGAUUGAAUUAAUCUGGCGAGUAAAUAGUAAAUAAUUGAAUGGCCGGAGCUUUCUUAGUUUCCUGGAAAUUUCCUGGAGCUUUCGUAUACAUGAUUUGUCAAGUCAAGAAACAUAAUCAUGAUAAUGGGGCAGACCAGGAAGGAAAGAAAAUUUGAUCCAACCAAUAAAGGAAGGAAAAGUAAAGAAAGAAAAUUUGAAAGUAGAUUCAGAGAAUUAUAAAAAGCUAAAGGAUAUUGGAAUUUUGUACAAUUUCUCUAUUACAGUUUGGAUUAAGAUUUGAGCAAGCGGCCAAAACUACAUUGCGUCAGGGCUUUGGUGCCACACUCGUUUGUCUGUUAGUAGCAUUGGAUUUGAUCUGACGGCUGCAGAAGAGACACAAACAUAAAGAGGAGUAACCUGAGGAAAAGGUAAUAAGCCGGUUACCUGCAGAAAAUAAGUGCAUGAUAAAAUAACACAAGUAAUGAACACAAUGGAAGCGUAUAUGCAAGUAAUGGUUGGAAACAACUUGCUGGAAGCGUGCAAGUAUUGGUUGGGCACAGACCGACAUUAAAUUUCGCAAAUAGUGUCUGAAACAUUUGCAAAUACUUAAUUCAAAACGUCAAUAAAUGCUGGAAAAAAUACAUAUUUUUUUAUUUUUUAUUAAGAAUACAUUUAAAAAAAGAAUAAUUAUUAAUGGUACAUAUUUGUAACAAUUAUACCAAAAACAAUUAUCCAUAUAUUUAAAAAAAAUGUUAACAAUACAUAUUUUUUAGAAGUAUACAUAUUAUAUCAUAAAAAAAUUGAGUUGGAGCUUCGACAAGUAGAUCUUAAAAAACUAAGGUUGAAUUUUGGAGGAGCAGAUUCGGUCGUGGAGUAACAUUUGUUUAUUAUUAUUAAUUUAUUUUGGUAGUCCUAGUGAAACAUCGUUGUUUCACAUAGAUGAUGUCGCAGUUUGAUAGACGGGAUGACAUGUGAUUUUUUAUCAAAUAUAUCGGGCCACAUGGCAUUUUUGACUAGGUGAAUGGAGUGACAUGUUAAUUUUUUUUUUUUUUAAUCAAAGGUUCUUCUAUCUUAGAAGACUAGAUUAGCCUUAUGAUGUCAAGACUUGGAAACGACAACUAACUGACUAGUGGAUAGCAGACACAUGUUGUCAACUUAGGGUAUACAAGGAUACAUGUUAAAAGUAUUGUAGUAUAUGUGAUACAAGUGUCAUGGAAGGCUAUAUGAGUGAUAAUUACUCAUUAAACUAUAAGUUGCAAUAAUUUAACACAACAAGUGCCAAUUAAAAUGUAAUAAUUUAAAAAAAAUUAGGUAUUCUCCGUCUGUCUCCCUCUCAAUCAAUGUGUCCUACUUUGAAUGUUAAUAUUUAUUAUCAAACAUAAAAAAAUUCUAAAAUAUUAAAAAAAAAAAACAGAGUCUUCUAGGCACAUAAAUUAGAGUAGUUUCGUGAACAAAGAACUUGAGAAAGAUAAUGGUGGCACUCUCUUAGAAGGAAUCUAUGGGGUUAAUGUUUUCUUCCCUAUGUCUAUUUUAUGUAUCUUAGUUUCAAAAACAAGAUGUACACAAUUAGGGGUUGGUUAAUGCAGUUAAAACGGUGGAAAAAGGCUUAUAGAAAUAAAAUAUAAUUGUAAUGCAGUGUUUGGUAUGAAUAAGUAAACUAAAAAUAAGACAAUUGGGUAUACGAAUUUAUAAUGCGAUAAUAAUAUUUUUUCCCUAAGACGACCCGUAGGGUAAGAUUAUAGACUAAAUUGUUGUGUUAUGUUAAUGAUACGAUAUAAAAGUGUUGUUUUAGAAGCUGUAAAAGUUAGUUAAUGUGAAAUUUGUUUUUAAAGGUAAUUGUCUUGUAACCCCUUGUUUUUAAGGGUAAGAUUAUAGACGCAAUUUGUUUGUUUUGAAAAAAAGUCCCUUAUGUUGAGCUGGACUUUUUUUCGUCUUCACAAGUCCCUUUUGCCGAGCUGGAAUUUUUCUGACAGAGUCUCCGUUUGUUCCCAUAAUAGCGGCGAGAAUCUGGCCGAGCCUCGAUGAUAGCUCGUUGCUACGACACGUGACUGUGUCCAUUGAGUCUCUAUUCGAAAUCCAAAUGUCGACGACAACGGCCGCCUCCACUAACGGUUCUCAAAUCACGCCGUGCGUUGAUGACGUGGCGGUGGCAAUUAACAACAAUAACUUCAACUCGAAGGAGAGAUUCAACGACCGUGAUUUUUUGUUGAAGCAGUCGUAUUCGUUUGGAUUCGAGCGGAGUCUUGCAUCGAAGAGGAUGGUGAUGGAGGCGGUAAUGGCGUUGCCGUGGAAGUACAAGAGGGGGAGUUACUGGAGCAAACAGUCGUCUCCGUUUGGCUCAUUGACGAAGUCUAGAGUCUUCUGGAGCAAAGGAUUAUAUACUUAUCCUCUUUGUUUUCCUUUUACUGAUACUGUAGCUUUAGCCGAUUACCCAUUUUCCAAGUGUUAAACAUGAGCCGUUGUUACCUUUCUUUACUAUCUAAAUGGUCAUUCGCAAAAGGACAAAUGACUAGGGUAUCAAACCCCUUACGCAAUGUAGCUGGACCCUUAGCAAAGCAUUCACCUAAAUCUUACCUCCGCUGUAAAUUCUUAAGUUUUGAAAAUUAUGAGACCUUUAUAUUGGGAGAUAUUAUAAUCAAAUGAAAAGUUAAAAUUUUAAUAUUGUUAAUAAAUGACAAAGCCAUUUCAUUUCUCUUUUACAUGUUAUUAAUUUUUGUAACACGGGGUGGCAACAUAAGCAUAAUCAAGUAAAGCAAAAGGGUUUCAAAUUAUGGUGGUAAAACGUGAAGAAGGAUGCCAACUGAAUAAUUCCUUCCACAAAACGAAAAAUAAUCACAGAAAAAGGAAUCUCUUAUAAAAUGUUUGCGUAUUUUUUAUAAGGUUUGAAACUUUAGGUGGUCGGUAAAUGAUUUCUUAAUUGAAUAAUAUAUAAAAAAGCUAAUUAUUUAUAAUUUUAAAUAAUCUGAAUUUGUAUGUUAGAAAUUUCAUCUCUUUUAUUUUUGAGAAUUUUUCAUAAAGAAUAGAGAACAUAAUGUUAACAUUUAAAGUAACACAUCUCAAUCGUCGAAAUUAUUUUUCUAUUAAAUCCAACGAUAACGAAUUAAUGUCAGAAAAGGACAAAAUUAGUGGUGGCUUGCAAUAAUUGCAAGGUAGCUUUUGUAAAGACAGAAAUGUGAUGGAUUCAAAAAGAAAUUGAAGUGAUAAUGUACGUGGAUCCUUAAAAUAAAAAGCCGAAUCGCUUGGUGGCCCAGUAAAAUUACGAUUUGAAUUUUUUUUUUUUUUUUUUUUACACAAUGUGUCAAGCACAUAAAUGACGAAAGCCAUUUCAUUUCCCUUUCACACGUCAUUAACUUUUGUAACACGGUGUGUUCAUCGUCAAGUGAGGCAAAAGGGUUUCCAUUACAGUGGGAAAACAUGAACAAGAAUGCAUAAUGAAUAAUUCCUUCGAUAAAGCGAAAAUUAAACAUAAAAUAAUCCUAAAAUUUAAACUCUAAUAUCCUUCGAUAAUGUAUUGAUUAAAAAUAAUCCUAAGAGUUUCCAAUUGAAACUUCCGUAAGUAUUUUUAUUGUUUUGGAUAAACAAAUUGCACUAGGAUAAAAAUUUGGUAAAUUCAGAGGAUAAUAGAAAAUAGCUAUGGUUCAAUAGGCCAAAGAUUAGAGAACAAACAAGAAUUAGUUAUUGAUAUACAAAAGAGAAACACUCCAAAAUUUCAAGCAAAAAUAGUUUCAUAUACCAUUUCGAUUUUGGAAGGGGUGAGGUUUUGAAAUUCAAUAGUUUCCUCUAAAAUCAAAAGGCAGCAAUUAAGUUAGAAAGAGCAAAGAAGACUUAUUGGUACCUUAUUGAAGCUGAACAUUAUGGAACUUUCAAUGUCAUUACCUCACUGUUCAAUUUUUAUUGAGAUUUGUGCAAGCAUUUACCUAAAUUUUACCUCCGCCUGUAAAUUCAUAAGUUUUGAAAAUUUUGAGACGUUAUAUUGGGAGAUAUUAUAAUCGAACUAAAACUUAAAAUUUCAAUAUUAUUAUUCUUUGAAAAAAAAAUGAGAUAUCAGAGUAAUAUCACAUAGAAUGGUAAGCCAAAAGUCUAAUCAACCACAUGCAUAAAGCUAACUAGAACAAGUGAACAGAGAAACGCGUGGGUCCCUAAAAGAAAAGGCAAGCACAUAAAGAAAACGGAAAACAAACGCCAGAGAAAAGAAUUUCUUAUAUGCCUUGAUAUUGAUUAAUAUUCAGCGAUAGCUUAAUGCUUACCAUCAAGCAACUUUGAAAGCAGGAAGCUAUAUAUGACAAGAAAUCAAAGUAAUGUGAAGGAACAUGAUGAUGAAAUUGCAGGCCAGCACAAAAACACCCAUACCCCUGAUUUGUUUAAAUGUACACGAAGACCUUAAGGUUUGGUAAAAGAAAAUUGAAUUUAUAUUGUAUUAUAAUACAAUUUUUUUUAAACCAUCAAUGAUAAAAUCUUCUUACUUUUUUCCAUCCUUUGGAUCAAUAAGUACAAAUUUCUCAUCUAAAUCUUCAUACUUUUUACAAAUGACUUUUGUGCCAUAGAUUUUUUUUUUCUUUUUUUGGUUUUGCCGAAAAAACAAAACAAAUUCAUAAACAACAUUGUAUUUCACCAAUUAACAGUGCAAGUGUCAUUAUAGUUUCCACAUUUUAGUUCUGUUUUUUUUAGUUUCAUUUUCUUUCUGUUAUGUAACUGAUGUUUCAUUGCUAUAAAAUUAAUUGUCUGUUUCUCUUCACAACUGUUAUUUUGAAUGAUUUUUUCUGAAUUUUAUAAACAAUUUGUAUAUGACAGGAAAUGAAGCAGAGUGCGAGCAACUUGUAUGGAUUCCUAAAAGGUCUGGUCAGAGUGUUCCUUUCAAUGCAUACAUCUGGCGGCGAGGGACUAUUCCAAUAUGGUGGGGUGCAGAAUUAAAGCUUACUGCUGCUGAAGCAGAAAUUUAUGUUGCAGAUCGGGAUCCUUAUAAAGGAAGUCUGCAGUAUUAUCAGAGGUUGAGUAAUCGAUAUGAUGCUCGAAACUUUGACUUAGCUGUUGGGGAAAAUCAGAAGAAAAAGCCUUUUAUUCCAAUUGUAUGCAUUAACUUGCUUAGGAAUGCGGAAGGGAAAUCAGAAUCUAUUUUAGUUCAGCAUUUUGAGGAAUCUUUGAACUAUGUCAGAUCAACUGGAAAACUUCCUUAUACUCGAAUUAUUUUAAUAAAUUAUGACUGGCAUGCCAGUACAAAAUUAAAAGGUGAACAACUUACAAUUGAAGGAUUAUGGAAGCAUCUAAAAGCACCCACUCAGGCCGUAGGCAUUUCUGAAGGGGACUAUUUGCCAUCACGGCAACGACUUAAUGAUUGCCGAGGUGAAGUCAUCUGCAAUGAUGACUUUGUGGGUGCCUUUUGCUUAAGAUCCCAUCAGAAUGGAGUGAUACGCUUUAACUGUGCAGACUCUCUUGAUCGGACCAAUGCUGCUAGUUAUUUUGGUGCUCUGCAAGUAUUUGUGGAGCAAUGUAGGCGGCUUGGGGUCUCCCUUGACAGUGAUUUUGCAUAUGGCUAUCAGUCAGCUAAUAACUAUGGUGGAUAUACUGCUCCUUUGCCACGAGGAUGGGAGAAACGAGCUGAUGCAGUGACAGGAAAAACAUAUUAUAUCGAUCACAACACUAGGACCACAACAUGGAUUCAUCCAUGCCCAGACAAACCUUGGAAGAGAUUUGAUAUGACAUUUGAGGAGUUCAAGCAUUCAACAAUUUUAUCACCAGUGUCUCAGCUAGCAGAUCUUUUUCUGCUUUCUGGUGAUAUCCAUGCAACCCUUUAUACUGGUUCAAAAGCAAUGCAUAGCCAAAUUCUUAAUAUAUUCAAUGAAGAACCAGGAAAGUUCAAACAAUUUUCUGCAGCACAAAAUAUGAAAAUUACUCUGCAGAGAAGAUACAAAAAUGCAGUUGUCGAUAGCUCUCGUCAGAAACAGCUGGAGAUGUUUCUUGGAUUUAGGCUGUUCAGUUCAUUUUUUUGUGGUAGAAAUGUCGUCAUUUUAAAUUUAGUGUAUUUUCAAAAAGCUUAUUUUCUCAGAAUAUAAAAAAUAAAAAAAUAAAAAAAGAAUUCUUACAUGUUUCAUCAGCAUGAUUAAAAUCGAAGAAGAAAGCGAGACAUAAUGUCUCUGACAUAAUAAAAUUACAAAAAUUUCAAGGAAAAAAAAGAAGUUAAAACAUGUAAUCUUCAGAAGCAUAUAAUAAAAGAGCACUUCCACAAAUUACUACAAUUUCAUGCAGUAGAGAUUGAAGAGUUGAAUUCCACUUAUAGACACCGACCUCUUGUUUUGUCUAAUGUUAAAAUUACAACCUCUUGCUUUGACUUAUUAGCAGGUUUCAAAAGUAAUAAGGAAUACAUAGAUAAAACAUCAUCUUAAACAAAUCACAAUCUAGAAUUAGAGCAUUUUCGACAUACCUAAGGACCACGAAUACGUGAAAACGGGUGACUCAUUUGUUAAGAAGUGUUGAUUUGAUCGGCUCUGCAAAUUCUCUUGGGACUCGGUUCCAAUUCCUCUUCAUCCGAAGUUCCACUCGCGCUUGGAAAAUCAUCCAAUUUCCAAACUUCGGUAGCAAAAUUGAGAGUAAAAGUGUUGGCUUUGAUCUCGCUGGGAUUUGCAUAUACUGGACAUACUCCGUAACGUUUUAUCUUGCAAUCCUUUUGGCUUCGGUAACACUUAUUGAAGAACUUAAGUGAGACAGUUGUAUGAUGGUAACCAUCGGGAAAGCCAACAUUCAAGCAAGGUUUAAAACCAAGUAUGACAUGAUCGGAAUCAAGGGAGUAUCUAGUGGGCAAAUCGAAACCCAGAUCAACAUGUUUGGUUUCAGAGAGAGUCUUUAUUUCUAAGUCGAAUUGACGGUAGAAGUAAAAAUCACACAUACAACGAGAAUAAACUUUCUUAAAAUCAAGAACAGCACAAAAAGCAAACCCGAUUAAGUUUCUGAAAAAAGAGUGCGGUGGCAGUUGAAUAUAUAUCGAAGAUCCUGAACUUUGAUUGCUGAACCAGUCAGGAAUUUCGCCCCCAGGUAAAACAAUUAGGGAUCCCCUGAGUUCUGAAAGUUUCUGUGAAAUGACAUUUAAAAAAAGAAAAUUGUAAAAUGAAAACCAUGAUUUCAGAUAGGGAUAUUAUCAUUUUUCCACCAAAGGUAUUCUGACACAUCAUGUCAGUACCACGGUUUGGUAAAACUAUCAAUUUACCACCAAACGUUUAAACUGUUAGGAUUUUCCCACUAUUCCGUUAAAACUCAGUUAAUAUGUAACGGAAAAUUUCUAAAAAGUCAAUUUUACCCCUGGAGCAUAAAAGACCAUAUAAUUAACUUUUUAUGAAUUUUGUAAUUAAAUCAUCAUUUGUUGUUCUUCCUUCUUAAAGGACAAAAAUUACCCUUUAUAAAUUUUAUAAAAUUGGCCGUGUAGUGCUAGGUACUUCAUAAAUUAAUUUAAUUUUUAAAGGGCAAAUUUAUUUAUUAAAUUGAUGAGCUCAAGACAAUUUAUUCUACUACUAAAAAUCAAUUUAUGAAAGGGAAAAAAAAAAGAAUGUGCAAACGAAGUAAUUUAAUCUUUGAUAUGAUGAUAAUAAUUUUACACAAAAAAUUAAAUAAAUAAAUUUUCCCUUUAAAAAUUAAAUAAAUUAAAUCAAUUUAUGAAGUACCAAAUACCACACGGUCAAUUUUACAAAAUUCAUAAAUGGUAAUUUUUGUCGUUUAAGAAUAAAGAAUAACAAAUGAUGAUUUAAUUACAAAAUUCAUAAAAGGUUAAUUAUAUGGUCUUUUAUGCUCAGGGGUAAAAUUGACCUUUUAGGAAUUUUCCGUUAGAUAUUAACUGAGUUUUAACGGAAUGGUGGGAAAAUGCUAACAGUUUAAACGUUUGGUGGUAAAUUGAUAGUUUUACCAAACCGUGGUACUGACAUGAUGUGUCAGAAUACCUUAGGUGGGAAAAUGAUAAUAUCCCUUUCAGAUAUAACAAAGAGGGACAGAGUAAACAAGAGAGGGAAUUUGAUACCUCGUUGAUUGCCUUUUCAUAGCCCAGUCUCAGUGAUGCAAUUGCCAUAUGCCGAAUUCUUAGUUGUGAAUCUGCCAAAAUCUUGUUGUUUGCUUUUCCAUUCAGUUUCAAGCAGUUAGUAAACCCAAAAUAAAUUGGUUGUGACUCCAGACAUCCCGGUGCCCAUUGACGAAGGUCAGGAGAGGGUUUCGAUAGCUUUUCGAGUACGGAUGCAUCUAGUUCUUGUAGACAUGACGGAAUCUCUGGCAAAGAUUGGAGCCGGUUGCAGUUCCUUGCAUUUAGUGAUUGUAGACACAAUGAAAGUUCUGGUAAUGACCGAAGCAUGUUACAAUCCUCCAAGUUAAGAUAUUUUAGACACAAUGGAAGUUCUGGUAUUGACCGAAGCAUGUUACAACCCGUCAAGGCAAGAGAUUCUAGACACAAUGGAAGUGCUGGUAAUGACUGAAGCAUCUUACAAUCCGUCAAGUCAAGAGAUGUUAGGCACAAUGGAAGUUCUGGUAAUGACUGAAGCAUCUUACAAUUCUUCAAGUCAAGAGAACUCAACUGCGACAGUUGCUUGAUACUUGCAGGUAAACUCUCAAAGUUAUUUCCACUUAGAUGCAAGCCUGUCAGUGAGGAUAGACAGGCAAUCUCUUGUGGAAUUUCCAUUACAGCACAGUCACUUAUAUCUAGAAGUCCCAAAGAAGAUAAACCUAAUAAUAAUGAUCGAGGCAAUGAUGCCAAACCUUUGCAGCUAGAGAAAGAAAGAAUUCCAAGUACGUUUGAAUCUGUAACAGAGGAUGGUAGUUGACUAAUAGCUGAUUUAGCUGCUGAGAUGUAAUACAAAGAUUCUAAAUUGCCAAUGUUAUCCGGCAACUUAUCAAGUUUAGAGCAACCAUUUAUGAACAAUGAUUCAAGCCCCGGUAGAUUUUCAAAUGACGAUGGCAGCUCUGUAAUUGCCGUCCGGUCUAAAUAGAUGCGUUUUAAAUGUUCCAUUUUCUCCAAGAUUUCUGGGAAACGCUCAAGAUUCAAGCAGCCAAGAAGAAUAAGCCGAACCAAAGAUCUCAAUUUACAAAACCUAGUUGAAAUCCUCUUCAGCCGUUUGCAACCCAUCAAAUCCAACACUUCAAGAUCAGUUAGGCACUCUAUUGAUGAUGGAACUUCUUCUAUUGCAGACUGGUCUAAGUAUAGCCGUGUAAUUUUCCCAGAAAUCUGUGGAAACUCUAUGAGAUUAACACAAGAGGAGAAAUUAAUAGUUACUGGACAAACAAAAUGAAGAUUGCUUGGAAAAGACCUAAGACUUUUGCAGCCCUUAAAAGACAACGCACUGAGAAACUUGAAAUUCUGGAUAGAUGAGGGAACACAAGCCUUUUCUCCUUCCCAAGGUUGCUCAACUUUACUAAAACGCAAAUUCAGUUCAACAAGGUUCUUUGGCUUGAAAUUUGAUGGCAGUGUCCUUAAUGGAUAUGUGUCCCAAUGAAGAUAUCUCAAUUUUUUAGGAAGAUAAUAUAGGCCUUUUGGAAGCUGCACUUUAGAGUAUGAAAGUUGCUCUUCAAUACUCAUACUUAGAAGCUUUUCAAUCCCAUAAAACUUAGGUACAUAAAAUUUGAGCAAUCUCAUAUUAGACAUAUUUGUGAAGGCUCCGGGGUCUAAAUUGAUGCCUUUUAUUUUGGACAAAUCCAAAAAUAUGCCUUCAAUUGCAUCAAUCCCCUUAUAUAAAAAAAAAAAAAACAAAGAAUGGGUAAGCUUAAAACUCAAAAGAAACAUUCGUAAACUUUACUAAGAGCUCCUUAAACAAAAACAAAUUCUGCAAUCUUUGAUUUAAUUUUUUUAAUAUAUUAAAUAUCUAUAUGUGAGAAAAGAAAAUUUUGGGGACCAUUGCAAAAUUCAACUAACUGAAAAAAAAAAUUCAAAAUUUCUCUAAUUUACAAACCUGUUAUCUUAAUAUCUAGAAGUUGAGAAGACAGGGCCUAUUUGAUUGGUAUAAGAUUUCGAUUUUUUUUUAGUCCAUAGAAUCCAAAAUGUUAGUUCAAAAUUAGGGAAAAAAGUCAUUUUUUUCCACCAACUGUAAUUGUAUCCAAGUCAAAUUGAGAUACGACCCUUUUCGAAAGGAUUUAACCAUCUUAUAGCCUCCUUAAGGUACAUUUAAGCUAAAAGGAGUGAUUGGAGGCAGUUCUAGGUGGGCCAAUCAGUCCAUUUUAUUAGUGACGUUUGCUUAAAAAAAAAAAUUAUACUCUAAAACACACUUUUUUUUUUUUAAAAAAAUAUAAUUAUAUUGAAGUAAAACCCGGUGGGCCAAUCCUCAUGGCACUCACUUUGUUCCGACACUCUUCACUAAAUUUGAAGAAAAAUAAAAUUAUACUCUUCACACUCUUAAUCAACAUUCCAAAAUUGAUUAAAUCUGGAGUUUUCUUUAAAAAUUUAAAAUUUGAAGAUUUGUUGUCUUGACACCCUCAGUCAUUAAUUUUACCUAAUUAUGGUUUUUAUGAUUUUGAUUGUUUUGUUCAUAAAAAUGCUUUUACUAAAGGAUGUUCUGGUAAUAAUAAAAUUUAUAAAAAACACAUGGGUGUGCUGGUAUGGUUGGAAAAAUAUGAGUGCAUAACUCCAAACAAAUAAAAGAUAUAUAAAAAAAAGAUGGAGGAUUCUUACCUUAUUAUGCUUUAGUACGCGGCGGAUUUCCUUAGGAUCCCACAACCUACUGCGUCUGCCUGGCUCUUCCUCAGAUUCUUGGCGAACAAUCUCUCGACCCAUUUCUUGCAAUAAAUCAUGCAUUUGCAAGCAGUUAUUUGACACUGUUAUGAGUGACUUGUCCACGAGGGCAUCUAGUUUGUGAGACCCAGAAUCAUCAAGUAUCCUCGACACAAAAUCUUUAUCCUCUCCCUCAAGGAAACACGCAAUAUCUAGAAACAUACUCUUCUGCUUGCGUGUUAAUUCAUUAAAACUAAUCUUUAAUAUAUCAUAAAUAUUAUGAAUAUCAGAUUCACAAAUCCGAUUUAAGUCGUUCAAUACAUUUUCCCAACGGCUUUUAUCCUUGAGGGAGGAACCCAACACUUUAAGAACUAAUGGAUUGCCAUCGGCAUACUCUACAACCCUCUGUGAGUGCCAGUUGAGAUCUUCAGCACAAUGCUUUUCUUUAAAAGCGAAGUUACAAAAAUGCUCGAAAGCCUCAUCAAAUUUCAAUCCAUUGACCCUAUAUAUUUUCUCCACUCCAAAUUUUUCGAGGACUCGUUUAUCCCUAGUGGUUACAACAAUUCUACUUCCUGGACCAUAUUGAUCAAGCCCUCCAAUCAAACCCUCUAAUUGUUCAUCUUUAUUCACAUCAUCAAGUGCAAUCAACACCUUCAUGCGUCGGAGCCUCCCUUUAGUAAAUUGUGGAAUGUUGGGACCAUCUACUUCAAGUUUUUCACUUAAUAUUGUCGAAAGCAUUUCCUUUUGUAGCUCUUCUAGGCCACCCCCUGUUUCUGAUUUUCUCCUAACAUUUUUUGCAAAGUAUUUUCCAUCAAACUCACCAGAGAAUUGAUCGAAAAUAGCUUCAGCAAGGGUGGUUUUGCCUAUACCACCCAUGCCCCAAAUUCCAACAAUUUGGACAGUAUCCCACAAAUCCAUGCACAGCAAUGGUUUAAUCUGCUCAAUUCGUGAAUUUAAUCCAACCAGGCCAUUGGAUGAGUCCGUUGAGACUGUUAUUUUUUCCAACUUCUUCAAAACAUCUUCGACAAUUUUGUUUACAAGUUGCGCAUCAUGCCUAAUAUGAAGGUGCAAAGAUGCAAAAACAUUGAGUCAAAUCGGGCCAACACAGAAACAGAGAUAAGAUGAAUUAGGAAAGAGAGUUACCUGAAUUUUGUGGAUUCGUGGCCAGCUAGAUGGGAUGUUUCUUUCAGUGCAUCCCUCCACUUUUGAACCAUUUCUGGUUUCUCUUUGAGCUGCUGUUCUAGCUUGUAAAAACCGUCCCCAAAAACUCCGGUUUGAUGCCGCACAUCAGAUGGACUUACUUCAUAGAAGACUGGAAUAAUAAUUUGGCCGUUUGUGUUCUUGCAUUCAAGAAUCUUGACAAGUUCAUUUAGGCACCAUUUUGAAGAAGCGUAGUCCUUUGAGAAAAUGACCACCGAAAUUUUUGAACCUUCGAUUGCGUUCAAAAGAGCAGGUGAAAUCUCAUCUCCUCGCCUAAGCUCUUCAUCAUCAAUAAACGUUUUGAUUUUCGUUCUUUCAUUCAAAUUAUAAUAGAGAUGGCAUGUAAAGCUCACGCGAGUGUCCUCUCCUCUGAAACUGAGGAAUACAUCAUAAUUGCAACAAGAAGAAGAGGAAGCCAUGAAGGAAAUUUUAGAAAUUUGGUGACAGAAACAGAGAAUUAAUCUUGAGAGUUGAGAGGGGAUAUGUAAGAAUGAAAAUGCGUAAAUAGUAAAUAAUUGAAUUAAUCUGGCGAGUACAUAGUAAAUAAUUGAAUGGCCGGGGCUUUCUUAGUUUCCUGGAAAUUUCCUGGAGCUUUCGUAUACAUGAUUUGUCAAGUCAAGAAACAUA